Molecule: ribosomal RNA, 247 nt
Filed under: uncultured bacterium
Lineage: Bacteria
Description: partial 16S ribosomal RNA
Rfam family: Bacterial small subunit ribosomal RNA
Source: RNAcentral
AUACGUAGGUGGCGAGCGUUGUCCGGAAUUACUGGGUGUAAAGGGAGCGCAGGCGGGACUGCAAGUCAGUGGUGAAAUACAUGAGCUUAACUCAUGAAUUGCCAUUGAAACUGUGGUUCUUGAGUGGAUCAGAGGCAAGUGGAAUUCCGAGUGUAGCGGUGAAAUGCGUAGAUAUUCGGAGGAACACCAGUGGCGAAGGCGACUUGCUGGGGUCUAACUGACGCUGAGGCUCGAAAGUGUGGGGAGC